AAAUUGAAGAGUUUGAUCAUGGCUCAGAUUGAACGCUGGCGGCAGGCCUAACACAUGCAAGUCGAGCGGUAGCACAGAGAGCUUGCUCUCGGGUGACGAGCGGCGGACGGGUGAGUAAUGUCUGGGAAACUGCCUGAUGGAGGGGAUAACUACUGGAAACGGUAGCUAAUACCGCAUAAUGUCGCAAGACCAAAGUAGGGGACCUUCGGGCCUCAUGCCAUCAGAUGUGCCCAGAUGGGAUUAGCUAGUAGGUGGGGUAACGGCUCACCUAGGCGACGAUCCUAGCUGGUCUGAGAGGAUGACCAGCCACACUGGAACUGAGACACGGUCCAGACUCCUACGGGAGGCAGCAGUGGGGAAUAUUGCACAAUGGGCGCAAGCCUGAUGCAGCCAUGCCGCGUGUGUGAAGAAGGCCUUCGGGUUGUAAAGCACUUUCAGCGGGGAGGAAGGCGUUAAGGUUAAUAACCUUGGCGAUUGACGUUACCCGCAGAAGAAGCACCGGCUAACUCCGUGCCAGCAGCCGCGGUAAUACGGAGGGUGCAAGCGUUAAUCGGAAUUACUGGGCGUAAAGCGCACGCAGGCGGUCUGUCAAGUCGGAUGUGAAAUCCCGGGCUCAACCUGGGAACUGCAUUCGAAACUGGCAGGCUAGAGUCUUGUAGAGGGGGUAGAAUUCCGGUGUAGCGGUGAAAUGCGUAGAGAUCUGGAGGAAUACCGGUGGCGAAGGCGGCCCCUGGACAAAGACUGACGCUCAGGUGCGAAAGCGUGGGGAGCAAACAGGAUUAGAUACCCUGGUAGUCCACGCCGUAAACGAUGUCGAUUUGGAGGUUGUGCCCUUGAGGCGUGGCUUCCGGAGCUAACGCGUUAAAUCGACCGCCUGGGGAGUACGGCCGCAAGGUUAAAACUCAAAUGAAUUGACGGGGCCCGCACAAGCGGUGGAGCAUGUGGUUUAAUUCGAUGCAACGCGAAGAACCUUACCUGGUCUUGACAUCCACAGAACUUUCCAGAGAUGGAUUGGUGCCUUCGGGAACUGUGAGACAGGUGCUGCAUGGCUGUCGUCAGCUCGUGUUGUGAAAUGUUGGGUUAAGUCCCGCAACGAGCGCAACCCUUAUCCUUUGUUGCCAGCGGUUAGGCCGGGAACUCAAAGGAGACUGCCAGUGAUAAACUGGAGGAAGGUGGGGAUGACGUCAAGUCAUCAUGGCCCUUACGACCAGGGCUACACACGUGCUACAAUGGCAUAUACAAAGAGAAGCGACCUCGCGAGAGCAAGCGGACCUCAUAAAGUAUGUCGUAGUCCGGAUUGGAGUCUGCAACUCGACUCCAUGAAGUCGGAAUCGCUAGUAAUCGUAGAUCAGAAUGCUACGGUGAAUACGUUCCCGGGCCUUGUACACACCGCCCGUCACACCAUGGGAGUGGGUUGCAAAAGAAGUAGGUAGCUUAACCUUCGGGAGGGCGCUUACCACUUUGUGAUUCAUGACUGGGGUGAAGUCGUAACAAGGUAACCGUAGGGGAACCUGCGGUUGGAUCACCUCCUUA
RNAcentral lists this ribosomal RNA (1533 nucleotides) under Klebsiella pneumoniae. RNAcentral describes it as "bacterial SSU rRNA". It matches the Rfam family "Bacterial small subunit ribosomal RNA". Lineage: Bacteria; Pseudomonadati; Pseudomonadota; Gammaproteobacteria; Enterobacterales; Enterobacteriaceae. The record is from RNAcentral.